Molecule: transfer RNA, 78 nt
Filed under: Candidatus Segetimicrobium genomatis
Lineage: Bacteria; Bacillati; Candidatus Sysuimicrobiota; Candidatus Sysuimicrobiia; Candidatus Sysuimicrobiales; Candidatus Segetimicrobiaceae
Also listed under: 1 other name
Description: Terrabacteria group bacterium ANGP1 tRNA-Pro
Rfam family: tRNA
About the family: Transfer RNA (tRNA) molecules are approximately 80 nucleotides in length. Their secondary structure includes four short double-helical elements and three loops (D, anti-codon, and T loops). Further hydrogen bonds mediate the characteristic L-shaped molecular structure. tRNAs have two regions of fundamental functional importance: the anti-codon, which is responsible for specific mRNA codon recognition, and the 3' end, to which the tRNAs corresponding amino acid is attached (by aminoacyl-tRNA synthetases). tRNAs cope with the degeneracy of the genetic code in two manners: having more than one tRNA (with a specific anti-codon) for a particular amino acid; and 'wobble' base-pairing, i.e. permitting non-standard base-pairing at the 3rd anti-codon position.
Source: RNAcentral
CGGGGCGUAGCGCAGACCGGCCAGCGCGCGUGGUUUGGGACCACGAGGUCGCCGGUUCAAAUCCGGCCGCCCCGACCA